CGUUAGCGGCGGACGGGUGAGUAACACGUGGGUAACCUACCUAUAAGACUGGGAUAACUUCGGGAAACCGGAGCUAAUACCGGAUAAUAUUUCGAACCGCAUGGUUCGAUAGUGAAAGAUGGUUUUGCUAUCACUUAUAGAUGGACCUGCGCCGUAUUAGCUAGUUGGUAAGGUAACGGCUUACCAAGGCGACGAUACGUAGCCGACCUGAGAGGGUGAUCGGCCACACUGGAACUGAGACACGGUCCAGACUCCUACGGGAGGCAGCAGAG
RNAcentral lists this ribosomal RNA (272 nucleotides) under uncultured Staphylococcus sp. RNAcentral describes it as "partial 16S ribosomal RNA". It matches the Rfam family "Bacterial small subunit ribosomal RNA", at positions 90 to 354 of the family's 1533-position model. Lineage: Bacteria; Bacillati; Bacillota; Bacilli; Caryophanales; Staphylococcaceae. The record is from RNAcentral.